CAGGAACCUUGCUGCUACCUGGAAAGCCUAACGGCAAAAACCAGUCCUGCUGGCUGCCAUCUCUGCCAAGGGGAGAAGGCUCUCUGUUCACUUAUCCACGCAAAUGGAAGCUCUUCCUUGGCUUGGAUGUACAGAGAAAAUUGAUGAAUUGCUCGAGGUCACAGAGCAAGUAAAUAGAAGAGACAGUGUCAACCCAAAACUCUUGCACCUUGUACUUUUUUUGAAACCAUGCCCCAUAAGACCCCACUAACAAAUCCACUAGCUGUCUCUGCAAAAACCAGGACUCAAGGUCAACUGAUAAUGGUUCUAACCUAUGAACAAGCAAGACCCUGCUUUCCUUACCUGAGGUAAUGAGCCUAAGACUCCAUCCAGUUUAUACUGGCUCUCAGGACAUCCUAAAGCAACCUCCUGAUGUCAGGGGCUGAAUUUUGCCUCAUUCUGAUGCUAAGUCUGUACCCCAAAGUUAACACAGGAUGUAUGUUUUACGUGUGUGUUAAAUGUGUAUUCUCCAUCUCUCCUCACGAAUAGUCAUAAGUUUCCCUGCCCUCUUCAUCAAUAUGUUUGUAUUCUCAACCCCUAUGAUUAUAAAAAAAACUUGUUCUGUCCCCCUUCAGGGAGGCAGAUUUGAGGCUUGUCCUCCCAUCUCCUCUCCUUGUUUUGCCUGCCUCUCCAAUAAACUCUUUCCUUGCUGCAAA
Long non-coding RNA from Neofelis nebulosa (Clouded leopard), 695 nucleotides. RefSeq lists it as uncharacterized. NCBI's taxonomy places the organism in Eukaryota, Metazoa, Chordata, Mammalia, Carnivora, Felidae. The transcript has 3 exons. The record is from RefSeq and is a predicted model, not a curated record.